AUGCAUGUCUAAGUACAAACUAUAUUAAAGUGAAACCGCGAAAGGCUCAUUAAAUCAGUUAUGGUUCCUUAGAUCGUACCACAAUUACUUGGAUAACUGUGGUAAUUCUAGAGCUAAUACAUGCAAACAGAGCUCUGACCGGAGACGGAAGGAGUGCUUUUAUUAGAUCAAAACCAAUCGGCGGCGAUAGCGUUUCGGCGUUAUCGUUCGUCGCUCAAUAAAUGGUGAAUCUGAAUAACUUUAUGCUGAUCGCAUGGUCUUGUACCGGCGACGCAUCUUUCAAAUGUCUGCCUUAUCAACUGUCGAUGGUAGGAUCUGCGCCUACCAUGGUUGUAACGGGUAACGGGGAAUCAGGGUUCGAUUCCGGAGAGGGAGCCUGAGAAACGGCUACCACAUCCAAGGAAGGCAGCAGGCGCGCAAAUUACCCACUCCCGGCACGGGGAGGUAGUGACGAAAAAUAACGAUACGGGACUCAUCCGAGGCCCCGUAAUCGGAAUGAGUACACUUUAAAUCCUUUAACAAGGACCAAUUGGAGGGCAAGUCUGGUGCCAGCAGCCGCGGUAAUUCCAGCUCCAAUAGCGUAUAUUAAAGUUGUUGCGGUUAAAAAGCUCGUAGUUGAAUUUGUGUCCCGCACUGUCGGUUCACCGCCCGCGGUGCUAACUGGCAUGUUUGCGGGACGUCCUGCCGGUGGAUGUAAGUGAAAGAUUUCGGUCUUUCACACAUCCGACUUAUAAAUCCUGUCGCGGUGCUCUUAACUGAGUGUCGAGGCGGGCCGGCACGUUUACUUUGAACAAAUUAGAGUGCUCAAAGCAGGCUAAUUAAUGCCUGAAUAAUUAGUGCAUGGAAUAAUGGAACAGGACCUUGGUUCUAUUUUGUUGGUUUUCGGAACCCCAAGGUAAUGAUUAAUAGGGACAGAUGGGGGCAUUCGUAUUGCGACGUUAGAGGUGAAAUUCUUGGAUCGUCGCAAGACGGACUAAAGCGAAAGCAUUUGCCAAAGAUGUUUUCAUUAAUCAAGAACGAAAGUCAGAGGUUCGAAGGCGAUCAGAUACCGCCCUAGUUCUGACCAUAAACGAUGCCAGCUAGCGAUCCGCCAAAGUUCCUCCGAUGACUUGGCGGGCAGCUUCCGGGAAACCAAAGCUUUUGGGUUCCGGGGGAAGUAUGGUUGCAAAGCUGAAACUUAAAGGAAUUGACGGAAGGGCACCACCAGGAGUGGAGCCUGCGGCUUAAUUUGACUCAACACGGGAAACCUCACCAGGCCCAGACACUGGAAGGAUUGACAGAUUGAGAGCUCUUUCUUGAUUCAGUGGGUGGUGGUGC
This 1317-nucleotide ribosomal RNA is filed under the name Laemostenus complanatus. RNAcentral's name for it is "SSU rRNA". It matches the Rfam family "Eukaryotic small subunit ribosomal RNA", at positions 51 to 1283 of the family's 1831-position model. The record is from RNAcentral. Lineage: Eukaryota; Metazoa; Arthropoda; Insecta; Coleoptera; Carabidae.